GGCGCAAGCCUGAUGCAGCCAUGCCGCGUGUGUGAAGAAGGCCUUCGGGUUGUAAAGCACUUUCAGUCGUGAGGAAGGUGGUAGUGUUAAUAGCACUAUCAUUUGACGUUAGCGACAGAAGAAGCACCGGCUAACUCCGUGCCAGCAGCCGCGGUAAUACGGAGGGUGCGAGCGUUAAUCGGAAUUACUGGGCGUAAAGCGCAUGCAGGUGGUUUGUUAAGUCAGAUGUGAAAGCCCGGGGCUCAACCUCGGAAUAGCAUUUGAAACUGGCAGACUAGAGUACUGUAGAGGGGGGUAGAAUUUCAGGUGUAGCGGUGAAAUGCGUAGAGAUCUGAAGGAAUACCGGUGGCGAAGGCGGCCCCCUGGACAGAUACUGACACUCAGAUGCGAAAGCGUGGGGAGCAAACAGGAUUAGAUACCCUGGUAGUCCACGCCGUAAACGAUGUCUACUUGGAGGUUGUGGCCUUGAGCCGUGGCUUUCGGAGCUAACGCGUUAAGUAGACCGCCUGG
This 510-nucleotide ribosomal RNA is filed under the name Vibrio sp. QAW_1_256. RNAcentral describes it as "bacterial SSU rRNA". It matches the Rfam family "Bacterial small subunit ribosomal RNA", at positions 374 to 876 of the family's 1533-position model. Lineage: Bacteria; Pseudomonadati; Pseudomonadota; Gammaproteobacteria; Vibrionales; Vibrionaceae. RNAcentral also lists the same sequence under 3 other names. The record is from RNAcentral.